Sitodiplosis mosellana (orange wheat blossom midge) is the source of this 3474-nucleotide long non-coding RNA. RefSeq lists it as uncharacterized. Lineage: Eukaryota; Metazoa; Arthropoda; Insecta; Diptera; Cecidomyiidae. The transcript has 4 exons. The record is from RefSeq and is a predicted model, not a curated record.
CGCUUGAGUCAAACUCUACUACAAAUCCGCAUGCCCGGUAUCGUAUGGUCGUACGCCAUCGUGUGAUACAUAUUUGAUCAGUGUGAGUCGUGCGAGUAGUGAGCUAGGGUCGUUUCAGUGACUCGGAAAAGCGGUUUUUCUGAAGAUAAUUAUUUUGUUCACUGGCGUGAAAAGGACGCUCUGUCAAUUUUGCACCAGGGCGCAAAAAGCGCACGGACAGGCUCUCUAUAGCGCGAUAUUCAUUACUUUUACCUCUCGUUUGCUAAUCUACGCCAAAGUUGGAAUCUGUUCCGGAAAUAUCCGCUCUAUGUGCAAGAGCCAGAAUUUCCAGAGCCGCCGGAAAUCACCACCUUCACAGUCAUUCCGAAGUGCACAUUCCAGCGCAGACACGUGAAAAUUGAUACGGAUGCAUUGUACAAUAUUUUAUGUGGCGUCAAGGCAAUGAAGCGAGAAGAUGGUCUUCGAGUCAACAAGAAAGGCGAAGUCCUCCAGCGCUACAUCAGACUGGAUGAAUUUAAAAGAAUAGGAAGCUGGCGUUUGUUUUUCAACAUGGACGAAAUCACCAAGUUGGUCAAGAAUAAGAAUGAAUUCGGCAAUUCGAUAAUAUCAGAUGGUGUGUCAGCGUCUUUUGCUGAUGAAGAAGAGGCCGAAACCAAACGCAAAUAUUUGGCAAAAGAUUUCGUGUAUGCGUUGGGAAUUGAUCCAGGCAUGUGAACCUUUAUUGCGUCGGUCCGCCUCGAUCUAAAGAGCGGCGAAGAGACCAACGAGAAGAUUUCGUUCAAACAAUACCAUCAGAAAUCGAAGCAACAUGCGCGCAACAUUAAAGCCAAACGAAUACCACGAGUUUUUACGCAUGACGAGCAAGAGGACCCCGAGCGUAUCGCCGCAGAGAUUGGCCAAACACCGUCGCCACGGACUAUCUCUUGGCGCCAUUACAUCGAACAUCGCCUGCGAAUGUCCCAAGAUGAUCGCGGCAUAUAGAGGUGUCAACGGACAAAAUUUUGUUCAUCCGUCCGUUCGAACAUUUUUUGAAAAAAUUUGGACGUCCGAUCCCAAUGUCCGGGAACCGAAAAUAAUUUUCGGACGUCCGGUCCGAAUGUCCGAAUUUUUUUUUCGGACGGACGGACGGACAAUGUGUUUUGUCCGAACUUUUUGAAAUUUCUUGGACGUCCGGACCGAAAUUCAGACGUUUGGUAUCAAAGAAGCAACACUUCUUCAAAACCUGCCAACCAAAUGCUGCUGAAAACGCUGGAACAGAAGACGCUGUACAAUCACGCAAGUUGCUCAAAUCACUUUGGCAUCGGGACAUAUCAGCAGCCAAACUGCUCAUGUACAAAGGUCUUUGCACGCUGUUUGGUGAACCGAUACAUCCAGCAUUACUGCGACGACCAGAUGACGAAGGAGUUCCAAUCAAUCCAUAAUUCAAAAUGCAGCAUUUAUCAUCAAAGCUUUUUUUAACAAAUAUUUUCUAAUAGUUUAUUAGAGUUCUCAAGCCUUGCACUUAGUGGGCUAUUUUAGGUGCAUAAGGUGUAGCAACUUUAUGUGCCACAGUACAUGAGUGGUUUUAUAGACGUUAUUUGAUGAUCAGAAUGGGUCAUGUUCAUUUUCCGGUUUGACAAUGUCAAAUUGACAUCACGCCACCGCAUUCUUUGGAUAUGACUUGUUCAAUGCAUCAUAUCACGGUAAGUAUUCUCACAAUUCGGAGUAGGCAAACCGUCAGAAGUAGUACGGAAAAAUGACAAAUUGCCGAAGUAAUUUUUUCAUUGGAGGUAAAUUGUUGAAUUACCACCAAUAUUUUUAUUCGAUAGGUAAAUUUGAAUUCAGUGGGAAAAAGCCGCUAACAGGGCAUUUGAAGAGUGAUAAAACACACCAAACACGUAUAAUUAGUGAGAAAUAAAUCUUUUUGAUUGUUUUUUCAAAUUUUCAUCAAGUGUGUUGCAGCAGUGAACAGCGAAUUGAAUCUAAAUUCCAAAUGGCACAAAACAUUGAAUUUUUAACAACAAUCAUCUCGAAUCAUCUUUGCAACACGAAAAAAGGCUAAUUGAAUUUGUUGUUUAGCCUUCUUCGGCUAUUACACGAUACGAUUUGCAACGAUUUCUGAUGUUGUUUUCAUUUUUUGACAAUCGGUUGUCGUCACACUGAAUGUUUCAUGCACAAUCGUGUUUCCGCACACCAACGUGAUCACACAUAAUGAACGCAACGAAGUGUGUGCAAGGAAUUGCCACAUUCAAAGGGCACAACAUUCGAUGGCGAGAAUGAACACAUUAAGAAUAAAAAAAAUAUUUCCAUCAUGGAAUUCGAUAGGGGCUACUCCACUUUCAUAAAUGGCAACUUAUAACCAAUAAAUAUGAUUUCAUACAAAUAUCGCACCAAAAUUGUCUAAACACUCAAAUGUCUACGAUUUUAAACACUCUUUCACCACUUUUGACCAUUUUGUCAUGCAUGUUUUUUUCUUCAAAAAUUCUGGAAGCGAAUUCUGGUGGAUCGUCAGGAUCGUCCAGAACUACUCCCGGUUCUGGAAGUGUGUUUUGGUGGAUCUUCAGGAUGUAUCAGAUCGGUUUUGAAAAUGCCCUGGUCAAUCCUGAGGAUCCAUUUCCAGAACCGGGAGCAGUGAUCAACGCUGAACGGACGGACAAGACAAUUUCAAGAGCCCUGGACGGACGGACGGACGGGCCAAAAAGACGGACAGUCCAUCCGUUUGACACCUUUAAUGCAAGUUUCUAAAUUUGGGACAAAGUGAUUUUCUUAGUACAAAACCAUAAAUUCAAUCAACUAAAGUCAACUGAAGAACAGUCAGUCAGUCAUUUUUUUCACGAAUUUCAUGUGUUUGAAUUCAAUCGAAAUUAUCACAAUAUUAAAAAUCUAAAACUUGUGAUAUCGAGAAAAAAUUCAGGGCCCUGGAACAAUUUUGCCUCGGGGCCCCCGAAAAUGCUUAGACGGCACUGGUGUGAACACCAUUAAUUGAUACAGAAUUUUUUCCUCUUUAAUUUAAAAUCUACCAUUUCUUUUUUUCAGGUUAUGAAAAACACCCUAUUGUUACAUACCGAAUUAAAUCUCAUGACUGUAACAAUGGACUGGUUUUUGAAACGAUUAUCUCCGCACUGUAGGAAUUGUCGAUCCAUUAUAUGUUUUGUUUUAGAAAUGUUCAUAAUCCAUUUAAAAUUUUUAGAACAAUCAUAUGGGUUUUCUGAAAAUUGUACAUUUUAUGAGACUUCGAUAUAAUACUUUCACGCUUUCAUGUAUAUUUUAUUUCGACAUUUUACCGCUUAAAUAUAACUCUUGAAGUUUUGAUGGUAAUAUCAACGAUCCGUCAUAAUAAUCAAAUUGGUUUUUACGUAAAUCAAUUGUCUUAAUGGUUGAUAGAUGCUUGAAGAUGCUCGAAUGUAGAUGCGUCAACCGCGUAUAUGAAAUAUUUAUAUGCUGUAAAUCGAUAUUAUUUAUUGAAAAAAUAUAUAAUGAAUCAGUAAUCAGAAA